CAGUCGCCGCGGUAAUACGUAGGUGGCAAGCGUUGUCCGGAAUUAUUGGGCGUAAAGGGCUCGCAGGCGGUUUCUUAAGUCUGAUGUGGAAGCCCCCGGCUCAACCGGGGAGGGUCAUUGGAAACUGGGAAACUUGAGUGCAGAAGAGGAGAGUGGAAUUCCACGUGUAGCGGUGAAAUGCGUAGAGAUGUGGAGGAACACCAGUGGCGAAGGCGACUCUCUGGUCUGUAACUGACGCUGAGGAGCGAAAGCGUGGGGAGCGAACAGGAUUAGAUACCCCCGUAGUCCCUGUCUCUUAUAC
This 301-nucleotide ribosomal RNA is filed under the name uncultured bacterium. Its description in RNAcentral is "partial 16S ribosomal RNA". It matches the Rfam family "Bacterial small subunit ribosomal RNA", at positions 509 to 807 of the family's 1533-position model. The record is from RNAcentral.